Molecule: non-coding RNA, 1606 nt
Organism: Chlorocebus sabaeus (green monkey)
Lineage: Eukaryota; Metazoa; Chordata; Mammalia; Primates; Cercopithecidae
Source: RefSeq, a predicted model, not a curated record
AUGAGAAAGAAGCCAGCUCUAUCUGAGGGCAGCAAUCCUGAUGGUAAUUUCCUCCAGGAACACUGGCUGGUUGAGGACAUGUUCAUUUUUGAUAAUGUAGGCUUCACCAAGGACGUGGGAAACAUCAAGUUUCUGGUCUGCGCAGACUGUGUAAUUGGACCAAUUGGCUGGCAUUGCCUAGAUGACAAGAACAUUUCUGUCAUCAAAUGCAAAGCAGCUGUGCUAUGGGAGGUAAAAGAAACCCUUUUCCAUUGAGAUCAUGGAGGUUACCUCCUAAGGCUUAUAGGAUUCGCAUUAAGGUGAAGUAUUUUUCCCAUUCUACAGCAGAUGACCACGUGGUUAGUGGUACCCUGGUGAACCCCCUUCCUGUGAUUUUAGGCCAUGAGGCAGCCGGCAUCGUGGAAAGUGUUGGAGAAGGGGUGACUACAGGUAUCCUCAUUAUUCCUCAGUGUGGAAAAUGCAGAAUUUGUAAAACCGGAGAGGAACUGCUGCUUGAAAAGCAAUGUGAGCAAUCCUCGGGGGACCCUGCAGGAUGGCACUACCAGGUUCACCUGCAGGGGGAAGCCAUCCACCCACUUCCUCCCGGGUGUCAGCACCUUCUCACGAGUACACGGUGGUGGAUGGGAAUGCAGUAACAAAAUUGAUACAGCCUCACCCAUGGAGAAAGUCUGCCUUAUUGGCUGUGGAUUUUCAACUGGUUAUGGGUCUGCAGUCAAAGUUGCCAAGGUACGAAUGACAACGGUAACCCAGGGCUCUACCUGUGCUGUGUUUGGCCUGGGAGAAUUCAGCCUAUCUGCUGUUAUGGGCUGUAAAGCAGCUGGAGCAGCCAGAAUCAUUGCGGUGGACAUCAACAAGGACAAAUUUGCAAAGGCCAAAGAGUUGGGUGCCACUGAAUGCAUCAACCCUCAAGACUACAAGAAACUCAUCCAGGAGGUGCUAAAGGAAUGACUGAUGGAGGUGUGGAUUUUCGUUUGAAGUCAUCGGUCGGCUUGAUACAAUGAUGGCUUCCCUGUUAUGUUGUCAUGAGGCAUGUGGCACAAGCGUCAUCGUAGGGGUACCUCCUGAUUCCCAGAACCUCUCAAUAAACCCUGUGCUGCUACUGACUGGACGCACCUGGAAGGGGGCUGUUUAUGGUGGCUUAAAGGGUAAAGAAGGUAACCCAAAACUUGUGGCUGAUUUUAUGGCUAAGAAGUUUUCACUGGAUGCAUUAAUAACCCAUGUUUUACCUUUUGAAAAAAUAAAUGAAGGCUUUGACCUGCUUCGCUCUGGGAAAAGUAUCCGUACCGUCCUGACGUUUUGAGGCAAUACAGAUGCCUUCCCUUGUAGCAGUCUUCAUCCUCCUCUGCCCUACAUGAUCUGGAGCAACAGCUGGGAAAUAUCAUAAUUCUGCUCUUCAGAGAUGUAUUCAAUAAAUUACACAUAGGGGCUUUCUAAAGAAAUGGAAAUUGAUGGGAAAUUAUUUUUCAAGCAAAAAUUUAAAAUUCAAGUGAGAAUUAAAUAAAGUGUUGAACAUCAGCUGGGGAAUUGAAGCCAAUAAACCGUCCUUCUUAACCAUUCUACUGUGUCAUCUUUGCCAUUGAGGAAAAAUAUUUCCUGUGACUUCUUG